GGAGGCAGCAGUGGGGAAUUUUGGACAAUGGGCGCAAGCCUGAUCCAGCAAUGCCGCGUGCAGGAUGAAGGCUUCGGGUUGUAAACUGCUUUUGUACGGAACGAAAAGGCUCUCUCUAAUACAGAGAGCCGAUGACGGUACCGUAAGAAUAAGCACCGGCUAACUACGUGCCAGCAGCCGCGGU
This 184-nucleotide ribosomal RNA is filed under the name Curvibacter delicatus. Its description in RNAcentral is "partial 16S rRNA". It matches the Rfam family "Bacterial small subunit ribosomal RNA", at positions 344 to 521 of the family's 1533-position model. Lineage: Bacteria; Pseudomonadati; Pseudomonadota; Betaproteobacteria; Burkholderiales; Comamonadaceae. The record is from RNAcentral.